Molecule: ribosomal RNA, 275 nt
Filed under: uncultured bacterium
Lineage: Bacteria
Description: partial 16S ribosomal RNA
Source: RNAcentral
CUGCUGCCUCCCGUAGGAGUCUGGUCCGUGUCUCAGUACCAGUGUGGGGGACCUUCCUCUCAGAACCCCUACGCAUCGUCGGUUAGGUGGGCCGUUACCCCGCCUACUGCCUAAUGCGCCGCAUGCCCAUCCCUGUCCGGCCGAAGCCUUUCCUGCCUCCGGGAUGCCCCGGUGGCAUGUACGCGGGUUUAGCCCGCCUUUCGGCGGGUUGUCCCCCUGACAGGGGCAGGUUGCAUACGUGUUACUCACCCGUGCGCCGGUCGCCGGCGGCAAGG